AAGAAGAUACACUAUACUGAAUCAGUUUAUAGUUAUAGUUCCAUCAUUGGCAAUUAACUCCAUCAAAUAUACAGAUCACAGAAAGAAAACUUCAGAAUCAAAAACUAUAUAUCCUAUAUUUAGUCGGUCUCAAAAUCAAAAGCUCAAUUCAUGUCCGAGUAUUGGUGAAUAUGCAAAAGAAAACUAUGAAACUCAAGGGACGAUGAUUCAGUUAUUUCAAAAUCCAAACGCAAGAAUGUUAUUCAAAUGAAAAAAGAAAAAGGAAAAUGGAUGCAAGUUCUGUACAUACAUAUUUCGCAUGACAACUUAAUCUCUGUUUUGAACCCAAAAUCUAAGGAGCAGGAUUAUCACCAUCACAACUGCCAAAUGCAAAUACUCUAACAGAAACUAGCGCUUCAAAUAACCUGACACAACUGACUCAUGUUUGAAAGAAGCAGGAAAGGGAACAAAUAGUCUAUAAAUUUUUUGCAAUAAGGCAUGAACAAAACUAGCAAACUGACUUCAGUAAACAACACGACAUGCAUCUUUAAUCCCAAUUCCAGUAGAGUAACAGCUGCAAUGGUGCCAAUCCUAGCCGAAAGUGAGGCAGAUCACUAGAACUGUGGGCACGUAGAUAGCUAAUUCAACUGAUUGGAAUUCAAGGGUCCAGAUAGUGAAUAAAAACUACGCGCAACUCGACUGAUUUGCGACUAGUACACGAGCAAGCAUGAAAUUUCAAAUCAAUACAUGAUUCAUUCAAUUGAUUCAACUAGCAAGAACACACCAACUUUGACAACUCAUGCUACAAUAAAGCCGAACAAGUUAAACUUCGACUAAUUAGAAACCAGAUUUCAAACAUUUUCCCCAAAACAAAUCAUGGUCGAAUAGUGAUACAAGGGCAGAUGAGCACACACAGCUACGUGUUUAAAUGAAUUCUAAGACCAGAGGAUUAUAUGGACAUUCAUUAGCACACAUGUGAAAUCAUGGAAAAAGCUGAAAAAAACAAGAAGAAACAGAGCAGCAAAAUGACAAAUCUCAGGUAUUACUUUAAACUUCGGCCCAUUUUUAUAGUUCAUACAGAGAUCGAUUCACAACAGGAACUAAAGAGAGGAAAAGAAAUGAACCUGGAAUUAAUAAACUGAAUUAGUACAACACUGAAAUCAACCAAAAGAAGCAAAUAGCCGCUGAAAAUCAACCCUCGAGCAGCGACAAAUUCGAACUUCUCAAAUGACUUCCAUUUUUAACCCAAAAUCCAGAACCGAAAUGAAGAAGAUGGACUCUAGAGAUUUCGAAAACUUUAAACAAUAAUCGACAUAGAAAUGAAUCAGCAGAACACUCAGUGAUUUUUUUUUCUCUAGUACCAGAAAUAAAGAAGCAAUAGAAAAUGAAGGAGAAAAAUCUUGAACCCUAAUUUUUAACUUUCUUCCGAAAUCUCUUCCAAACCCUUUCCAAAAUAUUCUCCAAAAAAAUCCCCCUACACAAAAAAAAGGGUCUCACCUUAUAUAAACCUCCAAAAGAUCUCGAACCUUCUUCCUUUCUCUCCAAGAAAAUUCCCAAAACGAGAAAUGCUCUCCCCCAAACAAAUUUCCCACCCCGUUUCCGAUGAAAGAGGGACAAAUGGAGGGAGUAGAUUAGCUCAAAUCCAAUCUAACGCUCUCCAUUUUUCCUUAUUUUCAUCUGAAGGGUGAAAAUAUUCGAGAUAAAUCAAAGAAGCAUGUGAGGGGAAAGGGAAUCUGUCAGAAACGGUUGUAAUAUGGUAGGAGGAGAGAGGGAAAACGCGAGGUAUGAGAUUGGUGUUCACUCGCCCUGGAUUUUGAGCGAUUUGGGAUCUGGUUUGGGUAAGGAAGGCGAGUGAACAAUAGCUGCGCCGAUU
This 1852-nucleotide long non-coding RNA is filed under the name Nicotiana tabacum (common tobacco). Its description in RNAcentral is "long non-coding RNA (NTAB_LNC009528)". The record is from RNAcentral. Lineage: Eukaryota; Viridiplantae; Streptophyta; Magnoliopsida; Solanales; Solanaceae.